This 77-nucleotide transfer RNA is filed under the name Aquitalea sp. USM4. RNAcentral's name for it is "tRNA-Asn". It matches the Rfam family "tRNA". From Rfam's summary of the family: Transfer RNA (tRNA) molecules are approximately 80 nucleotides in length. Their secondary structure includes four short double-helical elements and three loops (D, anti-codon, and T loops). Further hydrogen bonds mediate the characteristic L-shaped molecular structure. tRNAs have two regions of fundamental functional importance: the anti-codon, which is responsible for specific mRNA codon recognition, and the 3' end, to which the tRNAs corresponding amino acid is attached (by aminoacyl-tRNA synthetases). tRNAs cope with the degeneracy of the genetic code in two manners: having more than one tRNA (with a specific anti-codon) for a particular amino acid; and 'wobble' base-pairing, i.e. permitting non-standard base-pairing at the 3rd anti-codon position. Lineage: Bacteria; Pseudomonadati; Pseudomonadota; Betaproteobacteria; Neisseriales; Chromobacteriaceae. The record is from RNAcentral.
UGUCUAGUAGCUCAGUUGGUAGUAGCAGGUGACUGUUAAUCACCCGGUCGCAGGUUCGAUCCCUGCCUAGACAGCCA